This 238-nucleotide ribosomal RNA is filed under the name uncultured bacterium. Its description in RNAcentral is "partial 16S ribosomal RNA". It matches the Rfam family "Bacterial small subunit ribosomal RNA", at positions 96 to 334 of the family's 1533-position model. The record is from RNAcentral.
CGGCGGACGGGUCAGUAACGCGUGGGUAACCUGCCUCAUACAGGGGGAUAACAGUUAGAAAUGACUGCUAAUACCGCAUAAGACCACGGUACCGCAUGGUACAGUGGUAAAAACUCCGGUGGUAUGAGAUGGACCCGCGUCUGAUUAGGUAGUUGGUGGGGUAACGGCCUACCAAGCCGACGAUCAGUAGCCGACCUGAGAGGGUGACCGGCCACAUUGGGACUGAGACACGGCCCAG